Molecule: long non-coding RNA, 550 nt
Organism: Lolium rigidum
Lineage: Eukaryota; Viridiplantae; Streptophyta; Magnoliopsida; Poales; Poaceae
Exons: 3
Source: RefSeq, a predicted model, not a curated record
AAAGUAUUUAGAAGUCCGCAUUGAACCAACUGAAAGUUUGAGGUUCCAACUGAAUCUCGUGUGUUCAAUUCUGGAAAUUAUGGAUACAGAUCAUUGGAAGAUGAUGAAUUGGGGAAAAUAGCUUGUAUUCACAUUCAGCAAGUCGAGUUCAACUCUUCUUUUGUGCUGCUGUUGUCAUGUCCUGAUAGCCUCCAAAGAGAAAGAAAUCUGUCGGUUGUUGCCCUGUUCAAAUGGUGAUCAGAAAGGGUUUCGGGAUUUCAUCUCCUAUCUGAAACAGAAAGAAUACGCUGGGGUCAUAAAAAUUCCUGCUGUGAAGCCCAUGUGGACACGGCUACUAUUUAUCCUUCCUCCCACAUCUGAUGUGUUUGGCAUGCUAGGCCUUCCGCCCCACCCUGCUGAAUGUCUUAUUGCCCUGGUUCUGCCAAAGGAAACAACCCCUGAAGUGUCUUGACAUAGUUUUCGUGUAUGUAAAUUGCUGACCUUGAUUUUAGGACAUGUAUGUAAACCUUGUUGUGGUUGCCCGCUUUGUGCACAGUAAAUAGAUUUUCCA